This 2061-nucleotide long non-coding RNA is filed under the name Olea europaea subsp. europaea. The record is from RNAcentral. Lineage: Eukaryota; Viridiplantae; Streptophyta; Magnoliopsida; Lamiales; Oleaceae.
GUAUACUUUACAGUGUUCAUGGAAGAAAAGAUUGGCAUUCAAUUCAAAAAGAGAAAAGUUUCCAAUUAUCUUGCUGACCCCCUUUCUAUGGCUUAUAGAAAUUAGCAUUAAUGACUUGGUGGAAUUCAUCAUAUUUUUACUUUUUUUUGAGAUGUUUUGUGUGAUAAUCCAUAAAGAACAUUGAUAUUUUUUCCUUUUUUGAGAAGUUUACUUGGUUAGUGUUAUGUUUUAAUUGUAUUAACAUUUAAUACUCGUCUAACUUUAAUACUUUUAUUUGCUUUUAUUUAGGAUAGAUUGCAAUAGUCAACCUUCAGAAAGUCAUUCAAUAGGUGCCGCACAAUUGAGCCGUGCAAAGACUGACCGUGCAUGAGAAGACUUUUCUUCAACUCGUGAUAUUGACGGUAAAGCACGUUUCACAUGUCUUUGCUGCAACAAUAGCUUUAAAGGUGGUGGAAUUAACAGAAUAAAGUAUCAUCUUGCUGGAAUUAAAAGUCAAAUAUCUCAAUGUAAGAAAGUUCCUUAUGAUGUUCGAUUUAAAUUUCAAGGUAUUCUUAGGGAUUUAUCUAAAAAGAAACAAGAUGCUAAAGAGGCUCAUGAUUGUACGUUUAAGGACAAUUAUAUAGAUUUAGAAACUGGAGGAGAGGAAAUAGAAGAGGUUAUUCAAGAAAUGAAUAUAUCAUUAGAAAAGCAAAGACAAGAAAAAGGGAAGAGGAAAGCAAGUGAAGGUAUUGAAACAUAUUUUGCUCCAAAGACUACUCCUGGAUCUCAACCUAGUUGAAAGAGUGCUUUAGCUGGUAAACAAGCAAUAAAGAGAGCCCAUAUGUCUUGGGCUAGGUGGUUUUAUGAUGUUUGCAUUCCAUUUAAUGCUUUGCAAUCACCUUACUUUCAACUUGCUUUAGAUACCACUGCUGCAAUUAGUCUAGGAUUUAAAGGUCCUUCUCAUAAUGACAUUCGUGUUAAUUUGUUGAGAGAUUACAAGAAAGAAUGCCCAUUGUUUGUUGACACAUAUCGAAGUCAGUGGAUAAAUAAUGGAUGCGCAAUUAUGGCCGAUGGUUGGACAGAUCAAAGACAUAGAACUUUGAUUAAUUUUUUAGUAUAUUGCUCUUCUGGGAUUAUAUUUAUAAAAUCUUAUGAUGCACCGGAUGUAGUGAAAGAUGCUCAAACAUUGUGUAAUUUAUUUUUUGAGAUAGUUGAAUGGGUUGGACCUCGUAAUGUAUUUCAUAUGGUAACUGAUAAUGCAGCAACUAUGUGGCGAUAGGGAAAUUAUUGCAUGACAGAUAUGAUCACAUUUUUUGGUCUUCUUGUGCUGCACAUUGUUUGAAUCUUAUUCUAAAAUAUGUUAGUAGUAUGCCUCACGUACAUUCACUUGCAGUAUGUGCUUUGAAAAUUACAAUAUUUGUGUAUAAUCACACAAUUUUUUUUGUCUUGGUUGAGAAAAGUACCUGAAUGGAGAGAAAUUGUACGUCCAGCUAUGACUCAUUUUGCUACCGUUUUUCUUACAUUGAAAAGCAUUUAUGAUCACAAACAAUCAUCGCAGAGUUUGGCAACAAGUAGGCAUUUUACAAGCCAUAGGCUUUCAAAAAGUGCAAAUGGAAGACUCGUGAGUUCUAUCAUCUUAGAUAACAAAUUUUGGGAGGAUUGCUUGAUGAUUGUGAAAAUUGUGGCUCCUAUUAUAAGAUUGUUACGAAUUGUACAUUCAGAUGAAAAACCUUCAUUGGUUUAUGUAUAUGAUGGCAUGCGUAGGACACGAAAAGGAAUCAAGAAUAUAUUAUUAAGUAAGAAAAGAUUGUACAAACCUUCCAUUGAUAUAAUUAAAGAGCGAUGGGAUAAACAUCUUCGCUACUUAACAUACAUGCAACAACUUAUUUUUUUAAUCCUGCUUUUAUUUAUGAAGAAGGAUUUUGUCAAAAAGUAGAAGUCAUGAAAGGUCUAUUCAAUUUGCUUGAAAUCAAAAGCAUUUGUGGUGAUGAGACAAAAGCAAUGGGGGAGAUAAGGAUGUAUCGAGAACGUGAAUGGAGUUUUGGAAGGCAAUCUGCAUGUAAUACUAAAAAAUCAUUACAA